Long non-coding RNA from Pipra filicauda (Wire-tailed manakin), 338 nucleotides. RefSeq lists it as uncharacterized. NCBI's taxonomy places the organism in Eukaryota, Metazoa, Chordata, Aves, Passeriformes, Pipridae. The transcript is spliced from 2 exons. The record is from RefSeq and is a predicted model, not a curated record.
UGCCGAGGUCCCCAGAGGAGGACGGGUCAUGCCGAGGUCCCCAGAGGAGGAUGGGUCACGCUGAGGUCCCCAGAGGAGGAUGGGUCACGCUGAGGUCCCUGAGGGAGCUGGGCCAUGCCGAGGGGCCCUUCCCAGCAGAGAUGCCACAGGUUAAUUUCUUGGAAACAUCUCACUUUGUUUUUGAUCCACUGUGGAUGGUACAGGAGCUGAGCAGGAGAGAAGAGAGAGAGAAGAAAGGCAGCUCCACCAAAAGCCACAUAAACAGCUGAAUGAAUGAAAAGGAUUAAAAAUAACACCCAACCCCGAGGUGAAAUUGGAAGAAAUAAAUGGCUAAAACA